UCUUGCCUUGGCGAUGGUCCAGGUCUGCUGUCGCAAAGGCCUCAUGAAGGUUUUAACCAAGAACCUAGAAGUCUCAGUCUUUGGGUUUGAGGACGAUUGGAGCAGGCCCUGCUACAGAAAGAGUUUCAGUCUGAGGGCAGAACUAGAACAAAGUUCUUGUGUGGUCCUGCAGACUUUGGAGGCUUAGAGAACUAUCCAUGGCUUCCAGACA
RNAcentral lists this long non-coding RNA (211 nucleotides) under Homo sapiens (human). RNAcentral describes it as "HSALNT0016262". Lineage: Eukaryota; Metazoa; Chordata; Mammalia; Primates; Hominidae. The record is from RNAcentral.